RNAcentral lists this ribosomal RNA (233 nucleotides) under uncultured bacterium. RNAcentral describes it as "partial 16S ribosomal RNA". It matches the Rfam family "Bacterial small subunit ribosomal RNA", at positions 968 to 1197 of the family's 1533-position model. The record is from RNAcentral.
AAGACCUUACCUGGCCUUGACAUCCACGGAACUUUCCAGAGAUGGAUUGGUGCCUUUGGGAACCGUGAGACAGGUGGUGCAUGGCUGUUGUCAGCUCGUGUUGUGAGAUGUUGGGUUAAGUCCCGCAACGAGCGCAACCCUUGUCCUUAGUUGCCAGCACGUUAUGGUGGGAACUUUAAGGAGACCGCCGGUGACAAACCGGAGGAAGGUGGGGAUGACGUCAAGUUAUCAUG